AUGAACGCUAGCUACAGGCUUAACACAUGCAAGUCGAGGGGCAGCAUCAUCAAAGCUUGCUUUGAUGGAUGGCGACCGGCGCACGGGUGAGUAACGCGUAUCCAACCUGCCCAUCACUUGGGGAUAACCUUGCGAAAGUAAGACUAAUACCCAAUGACGUCUCUAGAAGACAUCUGAAAGAGAUUAAAGAUUUAUCGGUGAUGGAUGGGGAUGCGUCUGAUUAGCUUGUUGGCGGGGUAACGGCCCACCAAGGCGACGAUCAGUAGGGGUUCUGAGAGGAAGGUCCCCCACAUUGGAACUGAGACACGGUCCAAACUCCUACGGGAGGCAGCAGUGAGGAAUAUUGGUCAAUGGACGAGAGUCUGAACCAGCCAAGUAGCGUGCAGGAUGACGGCCCUAUGGGUUGUAAACUGCUUUUAUAAGGGAAUAAAGUGAGUCUCGUGAGGCUUUUUGCAUGUACCUUAUGAAUAAGGACCGGCUAAUUCCGUG
RNAcentral lists this ribosomal RNA (489 nucleotides) under uncultured bacterium. Its description in RNAcentral is "bacterial SSU rRNA". It matches the Rfam family "Bacterial small subunit ribosomal RNA", at positions 29 to 507 of the family's 1533-position model. The record is from RNAcentral.